This 476-nucleotide ribosomal RNA is filed under the name uncultured bacterium. RNAcentral describes it as "partial 16S ribosomal RNA". It matches the Rfam family "Bacterial small subunit ribosomal RNA", at positions 355 to 824 of the family's 1533-position model. The record is from RNAcentral.
UGGGGAAUUUUGGACAAUGGGCGAAAGCCUGAUCCAGCAAUGCCGCGUGUGUGAAGAAGGCCUUCGGGUUGUAAAGCACUUUUGUCCGGAAAGAAAUGGCUCUGGUUAAUACCUGGGGUCGAUGACGGUACCGGAAGAAUAAGGACCGGCUAACUACGUGCCAGCAGCCGCGGUAAUACGUAGGGUCCAAGCGUUAAUCGGAAUUACUGGGCGUAAAGCGUGCGCAGGCGGUUGUGCAAGACCGAUGUGAAAUCCCCGAGCUUAACUUGGGAAUUGCAUUGGUGACUGCACGGCUAGAGUGUGUCAGAGGGGGGUAGAAUUCCACGUGUAGCAGUGAAAUGCGUAGAGAUGUGGAGGAAUACCGAUGGCGAAGGCAGCCCCUGGGAUAACACUGACGCUCAUGCACGAAAGCGUGGGGAGCAAACAGGAUUAGAUACCCUGGUAGUCCACGCCCUAAACGAUGUCAACUAGUUGUU